This 365-nucleotide long non-coding RNA is filed under the name Monodelphis domestica (gray short-tailed opossum). RNAcentral's name for it is "lncRNA (ENSMODG00000035021.2)". The record is from RNAcentral. Lineage: Eukaryota; Metazoa; Chordata; Mammalia; Didelphimorphia; Didelphidae.
UUUGCCAACUUAUUAACUGUAUGACCUUAGGCAGGUCACUGGCAGCCCCUCUCUGAGCCUGUUUCCUAGUCAAUAAAAUGGACUAGAUGAAUUAACAUCCCAAGAUUCUUUCCAGUUCUGUACUUCUUAGUUCUAUUGUCACAUAAGAACCCUCCCAGUUCUGGCAUUCUAGGAUCUAAGCUCUAAAAUCUCAAGAUAUGUUAACGAACAGAAGUAUCUUCCAAGAAACUGAAAAAUGACUUGGCUUUCCCAAUGGUUCAUCCUUUUCCACUUGGUCUUUGCUACCACAAAAAUGCUUUGAUGUGAAUAUUUUGGUGUUUCUAUCUUCAAUGGAACAAAUAAAGACAUUUUAGUCACUUUCUUAG